Long non-coding RNA from Dermacentor albipictus, 1684 nucleotides. RefSeq lists it as uncharacterized. Lineage: Eukaryota; Metazoa; Arthropoda; Arachnida; Ixodida; Ixodidae. The record is from RefSeq and is a predicted model, not a curated record.
GGUCCUGCACUCCUGUUUUCGAUUGCAGUCCACAAGGGUACCCAGAGCGCUCCUGCACAUCGCCUCUCCGGUCUAUGCUCCAAAAGAUUACUUCGCGAGCGAAGAUCACCCGCUCCACGAAUGACUGCUAUCGCUUCUGCAUUCUCUCGCGUACGGCGACCUGCUGCCAGACUGGACUUAGCCUGGCACCAUUACUCUUAAUUAUGGUUUCCGGUGUCUGUUAUCCCUUGUGGCGCAAGCGAGAUGUUCCAGCACGCUCAUUUACAAGAACACUCCUGGCCUUGCCUCAAGAGCGACUUUCUUUAGCACGAUCAUAUUCCCGCACGCUGUUGGGAGCACGCUUCCUCAUAGAUGUGAGAGUCGUACGCCUCCGCCUUGGCGGUCUCCUGCACUGUGUUGGCAACGUGUUCCUGUUCUGAAGAACUGCGUAUCGUCGCCAUAGCGCGAACGUCCAUCGGAUGGGCUCCUACGUUUCGCUGUUUCCUGUUUACGACGGCAUAUUGAAUAAGUUUAGUAACAUUUUUAUCCUGUGAAAGAUUGGUACGUUCUCAGCGAAUGGAUGGCACUUGCGGGAAUUGGGUUUAUACGAAGCAGAAUGGUAAAAAAGGUCUGGUUACGUGCACAUCACUCAGUCUCGAGUAAGGGUUGUCAAUGUCUUCAUAAGCUUAUCUGUAAAUUUUUGGUGGCGAGAGCAACGGCGUUCGUUCACAUGGUGCGCUUUCGUAGUAGUACGUUGAUAUUGCUCUAAGCUUUGUGUGUACGUGUGUGCGCAUCUGUGUGUGCACGUGUGUGUCUGCGUGUGUAGGCGAGUGUGUGUGUGCGCGUGAGUGUUUACCCUUGCGUGCGCGUUUUGGUUUCAAAUUUCGGAAGUGUCGCCGACAUUGUGCUCCUUUUUUUUUUGGUCGAGAAAGUAUGACAUUAGCUCCGCUGCUACCCGGCGUACUUCAAUAUGUUUAAUAUUUAGGUAGCAUUUCCAGCGUCAGAGUUGACGCUUCAGUUUUGCCGGUUCAUUCACGUUCAUAGGGGCCUGGCUCGAUGUUUCAAUAUCGCUCAUGGACGUCCACUUUUGUAUUGGUUGAACCACUUCUGUAUUCGUUGAAGUCGUUUCUUUCGCUUUGGUCCUUCGGUUGAUCUCAGUGCUCGUUUCAGAAUUCAGCGGAUUCGUUCAGGCGUCUUUCUCGUAUCAGAAACGAGGACUUUAUACAUUCUCGGUUCUUUUAUUUUCAUCUUCUAUUACGACAGCCCUGCAAAUAUGCCACGCAAUACUCGCAGACGGGGCGGAGAUUUGCACUUGUUGCUGUAUGUGAUCUUGCGGGCUUUUUACAGCGAAUCUGUAUACCCCUACCGUCCAAGGAAACCUUUGUGUCGUUGCACGCAAAAACUCCCCGUACGUGGGCUGAUCCUGGAGAUAGUGCAAUGUCGGGCUCAACCACGGCGGAGGUGAUGCAGGCGUUAAGCACACGCUAUACAUGGGCCGAACCCGAGGAUAGUGCAAUACCGGCCCGACCUGCGGCGGAGGUGAAGCAGCCGUUAAGCACUUGCCAUACGUGGGCCGAUCCCGAAGAUAGUGCAAUGGCGGGCCGACCCGUGGCGGAGGUGUAGUUCGCCAUUAAGGGGCCCACAUACACAGCAUCACUGGUCAUCAUUCAAAGUGGAAGGGCAGUGAGUUUUCUUUUUUUUUCAA